Molecule: transfer RNA, 71 nt
Filed under: Upogebia yokoyai
Lineage: Eukaryota; Metazoa; Arthropoda; Malacostraca; Decapoda; Upogebiidae
Description: tRNA-Gln
Rfam family: tRNA
About the family: Transfer RNA (tRNA) molecules are approximately 80 nucleotides in length. Their secondary structure includes four short double-helical elements and three loops (D, anti-codon, and T loops).
Source: RNAcentral
UAUAUAAUGGUGUAAAAUUAGCAUAUAAAAUUUUGAUUUUUAAGGAGUAAGUGUAAUUCUUUCUUGUAUAA